This 305-nucleotide ribosomal RNA is filed under the name uncultured bacterium. Its description in RNAcentral is "bacterial SSU rRNA". It matches the Rfam family "Bacterial small subunit ribosomal RNA", at positions 335 to 658 of the family's 1533-position model. The record is from RNAcentral.
UGCCUACGGGGGGCAGCAGUGGGGAAUAUUGCACAAUGGGGGAAACCCUGAUGCAGCGACGCCGCGUGAAGGACGAAGUAUUUCGGUACGUAAACUUCUAUCAGCAGGGAAGAAAAUGACGGUACCUGACCAAGAAGCCCCGGCUAACUACGUGCCAGCAGCCGCGGUAAUACGUAGGGGGCAAGCGUUAUCCGGAUUUACUGGGUGUAAAGGGAGCGUAGACGGCCGUGCAAGUCUGAUGUGAAAAUCCAGCGCUUAACGUUGGAAGUGCUUUGGAAACUGCCGGGCUAGAGUGCAGGAGGGGG